AACGAACGCUGGCGGCAGGCUUAAUACAUGCAAGUCGAACGCUCCAGCAAUGGAGAGUGGCAGACGGGUGAGUAACGCGUGGGAAUCUACCCAAUACUACGGAAUAGCUCCGGGAAACUGGAAUUAAUACCGUAUGUGCCCUACGGGGGAAAGAUUUAUCGGUAUUGGAUGAGCCCGCGUUGGAUUAGCUAGUUGGUGGGGUAAUGGCCUACCAAGGCGACGAUCCAUAGCUGGUCUGAGAGGAUGAUCAGCCACACUGGGACUGAGACACGGCCCAGACUCCUACGGGAGGCAGCAGUAGGGAAUAUUGGACAAUGGGCGAAAGCCUGAUCCAGCCAUGCCGCGUGAGUGAUGAAGGCCUUAGGGUUGUAAAGCUCUUUCAGUGGGGAAGAUAAUGACGGUACCCACAGAAGAAGCCCCGGCUAACUUCGUGCCAGCAGCCGCUGUAA
RNAcentral lists this ribosomal RNA (449 nucleotides) under uncultured bacterium. Its description in RNAcentral is "partial 16S ribosomal RNA". It matches the Rfam family "Bacterial small subunit ribosomal RNA", at positions 29 to 523 of the family's 1533-position model. The record is from RNAcentral.